UGUUAAAUUUCUGAUAAUAUUUCUUGUUUUUAAACUGAACCAAAUAUUGUCAUUGACACCUGAGAAAGGUUUUCUACUGUUUAAGGGGUUCUCAAUUUGUUUUGUGAUGUCUAUGUAUAUAGAUAGGUGCUUUCAGUAUAGGACUAAAAUAGAUGGUUGAAUAUUUAAUUUCAGUACAAUUUACAACAAAUUCCAAAUAAAACCUAUCAAAUUGGAUGUUGGUCCUGCUUUUGGUUGGCAGGAAAGUUAUAUGUUCACACACCUAUGGUUGAUGUGUUCAUUUUAAUUUUUCAUUUUUUUCCCUAAAAUUAGGUUAUAAAAGGUUUAAGAGUAUAUUUAAAUAUUGCUAUGUAUUCAGCUUUCGUGAGAUGCAUAGAAUUACAGCACAAUCUUAUGUACUUUAGUUGAAUUACACAUAUUCCAUUUCAGGAAGCAUCUUUGUAGUAAUACUUUGUGUGCAGCAUAAUGGAGAAUAGAAAAUAAAAAGCACUAUCUGUUGUGGCUCAAGGAAUCAAAUUUCAUUUUAAUUUUAUUGAAACAGCCGAAACAUUCCUGUUUCUUGAGAAAAUGACAACAAACUUACUAAAAGGUUGAAAUUUCAAGGUUUCCAGUGAAACAUUCAGAAACAGAAUUUUCAAGGUUUCCAGUGAAACAUUCAGAAACAGAUUGAAAAUUAUGAGGAUUUCAUUUUAUUUAUCUUUUCUCAUUAUAAGAAUACGGUGGAGAAUAAAAAGGGAAAUCUUAAGAUAUGUUAGAAAGGUUGGCAAAAUGUGAAGUAGAGAAGGGAUAUAAGUUUUAUUGUUUAAUUGUAGUAUUUAUUUUCUGAAAUUUUAUUUUGUUGAAUUUACUUUCAAAUUACUUAAUUGGAACAUUUAUAUAGAAAAACUUUUAGCCUAAAAAAUAUUUAAUGGUUAAGUUAUUAAGUUUUUAGGGCAAGCCUUGGUAGCAACUGUAAGGUUGCUCUUUUGUGGCUAGAGCAUCACAAGUUUGAGUUGUGGGAAGCGAUUUUCUGCAAAUAAAAAAAAAAUUAAAAGCAAGAGAAAAGGUUUCGUACAAAUACCAGCUCUCCUUUUUAAUUUUCUUUUAUAUGAUUGAACUAAAAUGAAGUUUAAUAUUGGACAAUGAGUACUAAAAUACUUAAAAAUUUUACUUGAUUUGUUGCCGAAAAAGGAUUUACUAAAAGGGCAGUUUGUUACAAUCCCAGGGGCAAAUUUGAAUUUUUGUUGUUGAUGCAUUAGCCAAUUGUACUAGUUAGUUACUGCCAUGAUGAUUGUACCUCUAUGGUUAAGUUGUUAGCCGAAAGGAAGAGCCUAUAUAAGGCUAGAAUGUAUGAGGAUGGGAAUUCAUGUUGAGUAAUACAUAAUUCUUUCCCUCCUAAUUCUCUUUCCCUCUCAUUUCUUUCUCUCAAUUCCCCUCCAUCUUUCAAAUUCUCCCUCCAAAACUCUCUCUCUCUUUUGGUUACUCUAUAAUUUCAGAAUUGCUCAAGCCUCACAUUAGAGACUUGACACGGUUGUAUAGUUGCAGCAUGUAAAAAGAAAAAAAAAAUCUAUACAUUUAUAUAAGAAAUGCCUGCAUGAAACAACAAAACAAGAGAAUAAGUGAUGACUAAUUUUUCUUCUAUUUCAUUUUUCCUCUAUUAAAUAUUUUUUCAGACUUUCUGAAUACUUCUAUAAUGAAUUUGGUAUAUCAAAAUAAUAUGUUAGAUUUUCCUCAUGUUAUUGAAGCAACGCACUGUUUUGGAAUCUUUCAUAGUGUUUUAGUAUGUUUUGGUAUAAAUAUUAGAAUUUUGUGUUUUUCAUGAAUAUCUAAUGUUUACUUUCUAGGAAAUGGAAAUGUUUUGGUUGUUUUGUUGGAAAUGAAAUGAAAUUUUGUUUCAUGCUGUUGAAGCAUUAUAAUUUUCCUUUCAUUCUCCUAGGUUGCUGUGAUUGCCAUGCUUUUCAAAUCUGUAUUAUGAAUGCCUAAUAAUAAUAGAAAUUCUCCUCCUCAGAUUAAAAUAUUUUUGUUCUAUUUUAAAACUAUGUCCAGGCUACUUAGCAAUAAAAAGGUCACUUAGCAAUAAAAAGGUCCAGACAAUACAAAUACUUCUGACCUCUCUGAUGCACUCAGCUGAAAGUUGCUCCUUUUUCAUUUCUUUCUUUUGUUUUUUAAGAUGAGGACCCGAUACUUGUCAUGAAUCCAAAUGUCAAUGUUUGACUCUAUUUAAAUUAGAACCCUCUCUCUUCUCUCUCUUCAAGUCCAGCCAAUGGUUAGAUUGAGGACAGAAAGUCACCUGCAUCUUAGUGCUUCCGAAGUUCAUUUGGUGUAUACUGAUAAUGAACACCAGCCCGUCUCUAGUAAGAUUUUUUUUUUCUUUUAUACUUCUGCUACUUGUACCCUUGUAAGUUGAAUACCUCUAUCCAAUCCUCUACUAGUCCCAGUUGAAGGGGGGGAUUGGGUUCAGCAGGUCAUAACAUGUUGAACUCCCGUAGUACUAAAAUAUUAAAGAUAGCUUUUAAUCUAAAGUCCCGUUUGGUAGGCAUUUCAGUCUUCAAUGAUCUGUUUUCGUUUUUCAUAAACAGAAAAUAAUGUUUGUUUUCUUGUUUUCUUUUUUCAAAAAAAAAAAAAACUAUUCAAAAAAUGAACACUAGGUGUUUUCACAAUUUUCAUUUUUUAUUAUUUCUUUGCCCUCUCCUAUCCUUAUCCCUCCAGCAGACGCCAGCAACUCUCAAGGCCUCUGGGAGUUUGUGACUCACUGGUGAAUUCCAGCAGUGGGAUAAGGGUAGAGGAGGAAAAAAUAACC
This is a long non-coding RNA of Diospyros lotus (date-plum), 2779 nucleotides long. RefSeq lists it as uncharacterized. The record is from RefSeq and is a predicted model, not a curated record. NCBI's taxonomy places the organism in Eukaryota, Viridiplantae, Streptophyta, Magnoliopsida, Ericales, Ebenaceae. The transcript is spliced from 2 exons.